RNAcentral lists this long non-coding RNA (560 nucleotides) under Homo sapiens (human). RNAcentral's name for it is "non-protein coding lnc-SALL2-1:3". The record is from RNAcentral. Lineage: Eukaryota; Metazoa; Chordata; Mammalia; Primates; Hominidae.
AUUUUCCGGUUAGCCUUCGGGGUGUCCGCGUGAGAAUUGGCUAUAUCCUGGAGCGAGUGCUGGGAGGUGCUAGUCCGCCGCGCCUUAUUCGAGAGGUGUCAGGGCUGGGAGACUAGGAUGUCGGACACGUGGAGCUCUAUCCAGGCCCACAAGAAGCAGCUGGACUCUCUGCGGGAGAGGCUGCAGCGGAGGCGGAAGCAGGACUCGGGGCACUUGGGCUGGAAUUCAGUGGCGUGAACACAGCUUACUGCAGUCUCGACCUCAGGGCUCAAGUGAUCCUCCUGCCUCAGCCUCCUCCUGAGUGGCUAGCACCACAGGUGUACCCUACCAUGCCUGCCUACUUUUUAAUUUUUAUUUCUUUGUAGAAACAGGGCCUUGCCAUGUUGCCCAGGCUGGUCUUGGACUCUUGGGCUCAAGCUAUCCUCCCACCCUGGCCUCCCAAAGUGCUGGGAUUACAGAUGUAAUCCCAGUCUAGUUAAGACUCUUAUAAAAGUAUUUUUGGGGUUGUAAUUAAAUGUAUCUUGUCUUCUGACCGAGAGCUUGAUCUGACCCAUCAUUUG